CCAAUAGCGUAUAUUAAAGUUGUUGCAGUUAAAAAGCUCGUAGUUGAAUUUCGGGAUUGACGUGAUGGUCGUGCCUUACGGGGUAUGAACUGUCGCAGUUGAUUUCUCACCUUCUGGAGAAGCUCGAUGUCCUUAAUUGGGUGUCUUGCGGAACCAGGACCUUUACCUUGAAAAAAUUAGAGUGUUUAAAGCAGGCAUUUUGCUCGAAUACAUUAGCAUGGAAUAAUAGAAUAGGACGGCAUGGUUCUAUUUUGUUGGUUUCUAGGAUCACCGUAAUGAUUAAUAGGGAUAGUCGGGGGCAUUAGUAUUCAAUUGUCAGAGGUGAAAUUCUUGGAUUUAUUGAAGACUAACUACUGCGAAAGCAUUUGCCAAGGAUGUUUUCAUUAGGCAAGAACGAAAGUUAGGGGAUCGAAGACGAUCAGAUACCGUCGUAGUCUUAACCAUAAACUAUGCCGACUAGGAAUCAGACGAUGUUAAUUUUUUAAUGACUCGUUUGGCACCUUACG
Molecule: ribosomal RNA, 506 nt
Filed under: uncultured Glomeromycotina
Lineage: Eukaryota; Fungi; Glomeromycota
Description: partial small subunit ribosomal RNA
Rfam family: Eukaryotic small subunit ribosomal RNA
Source: RNAcentral